GAUGAGGGCACCAGCAUCAUCGGAAGAGUCUCCUGGCUGGUGGCUGCCAGCUCUGUGAUGGCACGAAAUGUCAAUCACCUGCAGGGGCUGGACCUCUGCAGCGUGUCACUGAUUUGAGAGGGGUCGGGGGACGGCUCCGAGCAGGCUUUCUGGACGGAAGUUGCUAGGAGGAGCCCAGGGCAGGACAGGAGCUGGUAUGCCGUGCGAUUUCUGCAAGAAGGGCUCUGAGACGGACGUCUUUG
Molecule: long non-coding RNA, 242 nt
Filed under: Crocodylus porosus (Australian saltwater crocodile)
Lineage: Eukaryota; Metazoa; Chordata; Crocodylia; Crocodylidae
Description: lncRNA (ENSCPRG00005003598.1)
Source: RNAcentral